Molecule: long non-coding RNA, 850 nt
Filed under: Bos mutus (wild yak)
Lineage: Eukaryota; Metazoa; Chordata; Mammalia; Artiodactyla; Bovidae
Description: lncRNA (ENSBMUG00000014609.1)
Source: RNAcentral
CUCACAGCUGGUACCUUUAAAAGCUUUUGUUGCAGAGCAGACGAAAGAGAGCAAUGGAACAAACCAUUGCUUCCCAGUGGCGGUAGUGGUAAAGAAACCGCCUGCCAAUACAGGAGAUGUAAGAGAUUUGAUCAGGUUUGAUCUCUGGGUUGAGAAAAGCCUCUGCAGCGGGGCACGGCAAUCCACUCCAGUAUUCUUGCCUGCAGAAUCCCAUGGACAGAGGAGCCUGGCGGGCUACCGCCCGUAGGGGUCGCAAAGAAUCAGCCACGACUGAGCAACUACGCAUGCGUGAUCUCAGAAACUUGGUUUCCUGGAAACUGCUGCUUUUCUAAGAGGCCGCGGUGGUGCUGUGCGGUGCACGGGAGGGAGGAGAAAGCAAAUAGCAGUACCAAGUCCAUUGCUGAUCUGGCCUAGUUAGAGUUGAGAGUCGGAGAGGAGAGAGCUCGGGUUCCUUCAAAAGGGGUGAACUCUGAUACCUUGAGAAGAUGACAGAUGUGAAAAGCGGGAUAAUCUUCUUCGUGGCAAAGGGUUCUCUGUCUGCGGGUUUAAUGGCCAUAGGGUCUGCGGUGUGGCCUGCUGCGCUAGUAGUGGUUGCUGGGAUGGCCUUGUACGCCUGGAAGAAGAGCACUGAAAGACCAUGCCCUAAGAGGUCCUAGGUGGACAUCAGGUAAAAAUGAACAAGAACCCUAAAAUGUAUUGAAAGGAAUCCUCUCCCAGUCCCCUGCAGACUGGAGAGUCCACCUUCCUGGGGUCAGGAAUUCUUUGAAGCAACAUUUUAUCUUUGGGGUUUGAACAAAAUCAACUUGUGGGCAAAAAAAUAAAUUCAUUGAAUGUGCCUGACUCUAUUACA